This 237-nucleotide unclassified non-coding RNA is filed under the name uncultured Russula. RNAcentral's name for it is "sequence contains ITS2". The record is from RNAcentral. Lineage: Eukaryota; Fungi; Basidiomycota; Agaricomycetes; Russulales; Russulaceae.
AAUUCUCAAACCUUCUUGGUUUCUCGACCGGGAAGGCUUUGGACUUUGGAGGCUUUUGCUGACCUUCCUUUGUUGGAACCAGCUCCUCUCAAAUGAAUUAGUAGGGUCUACUUUGCCGAUCCUUGACGUGAUAAAAUGUUUUCUACGUCUCGGGUAUCGCACUGUUUUGUCCUGGAUCUUGCUUCCAACCGUCUCUCAGAAGACAGAUGGUCGAGUGAUCGUCACUCGACCCACGAA